Molecule: small RNA, 155 nt
Filed under: Arabidopsis thaliana (thale cress)
Lineage: Eukaryota; Viridiplantae; Streptophyta; Magnoliopsida; Brassicales; Brassicaceae
Description: ATSL150240
Source: RNAcentral
CUUAUACGCGUUCUCCUCUCAUUCCCAAGCAAACUCGCCACUUCUCCACAGCUCCAACAAUAUCUCACUCGUUUCUCAACAUCUCUCUUUGAUUCUCCGAGAAAUCGAUUCGUCUCAACGCAAGCUUGCUCAGAUGGAGAAACAGAUGCUUGGUU